RNAcentral lists this ribosomal RNA (253 nucleotides) under uncultured bacterium. RNAcentral's name for it is "partial 16S ribosomal RNA". It matches the Rfam family "Bacterial small subunit ribosomal RNA", at positions 524 to 776 of the family's 1533-position model. The record is from RNAcentral.
UACGUAGGGCGCAAGCGUUAUCCGGAAUUAUUGGGCGUAAAGAGCUCGUAGGCGGUUUGUCGCGUCUGCCGUGAAAGUCCGGGGCUCAACUCCGGAUCUGCGGUGGGUACGGGCAGACUAGAGUGAUGUAGGGGAGACUGGAAUUCCUGGUGUAGCGGUGAAAUGCGCAGAUAUCAGGAGGAACACCGGUGGCGAAGGCGGCAUCCUGGACCGAGAUUGACGCUGAGGCGCGAAAGCCAGGGGAGCAAACGGG